GGCAAGUUUCCAUAAUUUUUAUGAAUUUAUUGAAGAAUAUUUUGAGCUAAAGAAAAAGUUCAGGGACAGCCGAGACGUCUCCUGAUAGUUUCAGAGACGUCUCUGGCACAAACAGGAAGAACUGGCACACUUGGAGACGUCCCCGGCUCCUGUCGAGUCGUCCCCGCGUUAGCGGAGUCGACUCUCUCAGUAGCGGAGUCGACUCUCUCAGU
This 212-nucleotide long non-coding RNA is filed under the name Phoenix dactylifera (date palm). Its description in RNAcentral is "long non-coding RNA (PDAC_LNC017503)". Lineage: Eukaryota; Viridiplantae; Streptophyta; Magnoliopsida; Arecales; Arecaceae. The record is from RNAcentral.